UCUCCCAUAUGGUCGACCUGCAGGCGGCCGCGAAUUCACUAGUGAUUAGAGUUUGAUCCUGGCUCAGAUUGAACGCUGGCGGCAGGCUUAACACAUGCAAGUCGAGCGGAGAUGAGGUGCUUGCACCUUAUCUUAGCGGCGGACGGGUGAGUAAUGCUUAGGAAUCUGCCUAUUAGUGGGGGACAACAUUCCGAAAGGAAUGCUAAUACCGCAUACGUCCUACGGGAGAAAGCAGGGGAUCUUCGGACCUUGCGCUAAUAGAUGAGCCUAAGUCGGAUUAGCUAGUUGGUGGGGUAAAGGCCUACCAAGGCGACGAUCUGUAGCGGGUCUGAGAGGAUGAUCCGCCACACUGGGACUGAGACACGGCCCAGACUCCUACGGGAGGCAGCAGUGGGGAAUAUUGGACAAUGGGGGGAACCCUGAUCCAGCCAUGCCGCGUGUGUGAAGAAGGCCUUAUGGUUGUAAAGCACUUUAAGCGAGGAGGAGGCUACUGAGACUAAUACUCUUGGAUAGUGGACGUUACUCGCAGAAUAAGCACCGGCUAACUCUGUGCCAGCAGCCGCGGUAAUACAGAGGGUGCGAGCGUUAAUCGGAUUUACUGGGCGUAAAGCGUGCGUAGGCGGCUUUUUAAGUCGGAUGUGAAAUCCCCGAGCUUAACUUGGGAAUUGCAUUCGAUACUGGGAAGCUAGAGUAUGGGAGAGGAUGGUAGAAUUCCAGGUGUAGCGGUGAAAUGCGUAGAGAUCUGGAGGAAUACCGGUGGCGAAGGCGGCCCCCUGGACGAAGACUGACGCUCAGGUGCGAAAGCGUGGGGAGCAAACAGGAUUAGAUACCCUGGUAGUCCACGCUGUAAACGAUGUCGAUUUGGAGGUUGUGCCCUUGAGGCGUGGCUUCCGGAGCUAACGCGUUAAAUCGACCGCCUGGGGAGUACGGCCGCAAGGUUAAAACUCAAAUGAAUUGACGGGGGCCCGCACAAGCGGUGGAGCAUGUGGUUUAAUUCGAUGCAACGCGAAGAACCUUACCUACUCUUGACAUCCAGAGAACUUUCCAGAGAUGGAUUGGUGCCUUCGGGAACUCUGAGACAGGUGCUGCAUGGCUGUCGUCAGCUCGUGUUGUGAAAUGUUGGGUUAAGUCCCGCAACGAGCGCAACCCUUAUCCUUUGUUGCCAGCGGUUCGGCCGGGAACUCAAAGGAGACUGCCAGUGAUAAACUGGAGGAAGGUGGGGAUGACGUCAAGUCAUCAUGGCCCUUACGAGUAGGGCUACACACGUGCUACAAUGGCAUAUACAAAGAGAAGCGACCUCGCGAGAGCAAGCGGACCUCAUAAAGUAUGUCGUAGUCCGGAUUGGAGUCUGCAACUCGACUCCAUGAAGUCGGAAUCGCUAGUAAUCGUAGAUCAGAAUGCUACGGUGAAUACGUUCCCGGGCCUUGUACACACCGCCCGUCACACCAUGGGAGUGGGUUGCAAAAGAAGUAGGUAGCUUAACCUUCGGGAGGGCGCUUACCACUUUGUGAUUCAUGACUGGGGUGAAGUCGUAACAAGGUAACCGUAGGGGAACCUGCGGCUGGAUCACCUCCUUAAUCGAAUUCCCGCGGCC
RNAcentral lists this ribosomal RNA (1594 nucleotides) under uncultured bacterium. RNAcentral describes it as "partial 16S rRNA". It matches the Rfam family "Bacterial small subunit ribosomal RNA". The record is from RNAcentral.